UACGUAGGCAGCAAGCGUUGUUCGGAAUUACUGGGCGUAAAGGGUGCGUAGGCGGCGCUCUAAGUUUGGUGUGAAAUCUCCCGGCUUAACUGGGAGGGUGCACUGAAGACUGGGGCGCUCGAGUAUGGGAGAGGAAAGCGGAAUUCCUGGUGUAGCGGUGAAAUGCGUAGAGAUCAGGAGGAACACCUGCGGUGUAGACGGCUUUCUGGACCAUCACUGACGCUGAGGCACGAAAGCGUGGGUAGCAAACAGG
RNAcentral lists this ribosomal RNA (253 nucleotides) under uncultured bacterium. RNAcentral describes it as "partial 16S ribosomal RNA". It matches the Rfam family "Bacterial small subunit ribosomal RNA", at positions 524 to 776 of the family's 1533-position model. The record is from RNAcentral.